UAUUGCACAAUGGGGGAAACCCUGAUGCAGCGACGCCGCGUGAGUGAGGAAGUAUUUCGGUAUGUAAAGCUCUAUCAGCAGGGAAGAAAAUGACGGUACCUGACUAAGAAGCCACGGCUAAGUACGUGCCAGCAGCCACGGUAAUACGUAGGGGGCAAGCGUUAUCCGGAUUUACUGGGUGUAAAGGGAGCGUAGACGGAAUUGCAAGUCUGAUGUGAAAAUCCUGGGCUCAACCCCGGAACUGCAUUGGAAACUGUAUUUCUAGAGUGUCGGAGAGGCAAGUGGAAUUCCUGGUGUAGCGGUGAAAUGCGUAGAUAUCAGGAGGAACACCAGUGGCGAAGGCGGCCUGCUGGGCUUUAACUGACGCUGAGGCUCGAAAGCGUGGGUAGCAA
This 392-nucleotide ribosomal RNA is filed under the name uncultured bacterium. RNAcentral's name for it is "bacterial SSU rRNA". It matches the Rfam family "Bacterial small subunit ribosomal RNA", at positions 362 to 771 of the family's 1533-position model. The record is from RNAcentral.